UACAGAGGGUGCGAGCGUUAAUCGGAAUUACUGGGCGUAAAGCGUGCGUAGACGGUUAUUUAAGUCGGGUGUGAAAGCCCCGGGCUCAACCCGGGAAUUGCAUUCGAGACUGAAUAGCUAGGGUACGGUAGAGGGAAGUGGAAUUUCCGGUGUAGCGGUGAAAUGCGUAGAUAUCGGGAGGAACACCAGUGGCGAAGGCGACUUCCUGGCCUGUUCUUGACGCUGAGGCGCGAAAGCUAGGGUAGCAAACGGG
RNAcentral lists this ribosomal RNA (253 nucleotides) under uncultured bacterium. RNAcentral describes it as "partial 16S ribosomal RNA". It matches the Rfam family "Bacterial small subunit ribosomal RNA", at positions 524 to 776 of the family's 1533-position model. The record is from RNAcentral.